Molecule: ribosomal RNA, 428 nt
Filed under: Chloroflexota bacterium
Lineage: Bacteria; Bacillati; Chloroflexota
Description: Chloroflexi bacterium partial 16S ribosomal RNA
Rfam family: Bacterial small subunit ribosomal RNA
Source: RNAcentral
UGGGGAAUAUUGCACAAUGGGCGCAAGCCUGAUGCAGCCAUGCCGCGUGUGUGAAGAAGGCCUUCGGGUUGUAAAGCACUUUCAGCGGGGAGGAAGGCGUUAAGGUUAAUAACCUUGGCGAUUGACGUUACCCGCAGAAGAAGCACCGGCUAACUCCGUGCCAGCAGCCGCGGUAAUACGGAGGGUGCAAGCGUUAAUCGGAAUUACUGGGCGUAAAGCGCACGCAGGCGGUCUGUCAAGUCGGAUGUGAAAUCCCCGGGCUCAACCUGGGAACUGCAUUCGAAACUGGCAGGCUAUGGUCUUGUAGAGGGGGUAGAAUUCCAGGUGUAGCGGGGAAAUGCGUAGAGAUCUGGAGGAAUACCGGUGGCGAAGGCGGCCCCCUGGACAAAGACUGACGCUCAGGUGCUAAAGCGUGGGGAGCAAACAGG